UACGGAGGGUGCGAGCGUUGGUCGGAAUCACUGGGCGUAAAGGGUGUGUAGGCGGUCCUCUAAGUCUGAUGUGAAAGCCCGGGGCUCACCCCCGGAAGUGCAUUGGAAACUGGCGGACUCGAGUCCCGGAGAGGAGAGUGGAAUUCCUGGUGUAGCGGUGAAAUGCGUAGAUAUCAGGAGGAACACCGGUGGCGAAGGCGGCUCUCUGGACGGUGACUGACGCUGAGACGCGAAAGCGUGGGGAGCAAACAGG
This 253-nucleotide ribosomal RNA is filed under the name uncultured bacterium. RNAcentral describes it as "partial 16S ribosomal RNA". It matches the Rfam family "Bacterial small subunit ribosomal RNA", at positions 524 to 776 of the family's 1533-position model. The record is from RNAcentral.